CUCUUUCAAAAAUAAUACAGAAGAUACCCAUGUAUCAAUUUCCUUAUUUUCUUUGCUCAAUAAUCCAAAUGCAAGAAAAUAUGUCCUCCUUAUAUUUGUCUUAAAUAGGUCUCGCACCACUAAAUCCAAACGGAUGGUACACAUACUCCAAUAGGAACUUCGAGUUAAUCAACUGUUGAGACCCCCCUUCUCAUUGAAAACCCAAGAUUAGCAUGAAACAUGAAGACAGUACAUGAACUUAUACUUGGCAUGUUUAAAUUUGAGAAUAAAAACAAAUGCAUGAAACGGACCAAAGAGGUAAAUAGCAAUUCUCCAGGGUAGAAACAGAACCUAAUAGGCUUAAGGGUCUACCUUCAUGGUGGCAAGAAAGAAAACGUUCACGUUCCAUCAACUCCAUCUGGGAAAAGGAGUUAUUGUCACCACAAUAUUCUUACAAAAUACAAAAAAUCUACUAGUCUACUAAGAACUACAAAUUCUAGAAAUGAUAAAUUGCUUCUCUGGAGAUCAUUGAAUACUUGUACCCUAAAAUAAAGAGGGAGGAGCACACCCAUGAAAGACAUGCUUUUCUAAGGUAGAUAAUGACGUACUAGAGAUGAAGAAAUAUUAGCCCAAGUGAACCCUAAAGGUCAUAAAAGUGUGACACUGACCGUCAAUCUAGCCUCCCAACAACACCCUUGAAGAGUUGCUACUGAGGUAGUUGAAGGUUUAGCGACGUAUCGCAACAAGGAACUUCUUUUAUUUUAUUUUAUUUGAGAAAUAAAGCAACAGGGAGCUCAUAUCUAUCUGUUUUCCAACUCUUACACCUUAGUCAAUCAGCUCAAAAGGAGCCAAAUCAAUGAAGGUGAUACUUUUCUAGUUACAAAUUUGCCAGCUUCUUAACAAGAUGAAAAACCAUAACAUAAAAUCAUAUCUCAAUGAAUUUUUCCCCCCAUUUUUAAUCAUAUUGGAGUUCCUUGAUCUUCCUUCACAAAAGUGGCUAGCUUCUUUCUUUAAACUACAUCAUUACUGUUUUGUUCUCGCACACAUUGCAGUGGCUUAGGUCACUGUGGUACUUGUUUCAUAGAUUUAUUAUCUUGGAAAAUUUUCCGACUGUUCAUCUAUGUGUUGGUUUCUCUAAUGAUGAUGUACAUGUUUUGUUAUGACGGUGGUGUCGAGGCUUACUUGGUAAGCACCUCAACUAUUCCACCGGUUAUCUGCAACCUCUUACUAGCACAGAUACCAAGUAACUCUACCCACCAACUCUUACGUAGAUAGGAAGAAAUCAUCUAAUGUCUUUUUUUCCUCCUCUAGGACUUGAACCUGUGACUCAUGGUUCUUCUCCCACUUUAUUAGCUACUAGGCCACACACUUAGGUAGACAAGAGGGGCUUGGUCUGAUGGUAACCAACCCUC
RNAcentral lists this long non-coding RNA (1391 nucleotides) under Nicotiana benthamiana. RNAcentral's name for it is "long non-coding RNA (NBEN_LNC038031)". Lineage: Eukaryota; Viridiplantae; Streptophyta; Magnoliopsida; Solanales; Solanaceae. The record is from RNAcentral.